CAGGAAUGGUGCACUUAAUGAGAGACAGCCCUCACAGAACAAAUGCAACAUUUCCUGUGAUUAUCUCCUCGAUGAUGAUAUUGCAGAUGAUGUAAGGUGCCUUAAGAAGGUUAUCACCGAGAAAGGGCUGGAGUAUUGGACACAUUAUCAAGUAAACUGCAGCAGAGGAGCCCUCAGCAUUUUGCAUCUCUCAUGCUCUUAUUUUUUGGAAUAUCAGCCCUGGUUCAAAAACUUAGUAUUGUAUGGGAAGAAAAAGGAAGUCCACAUACAUUUUAAUUAAAAAAGUAACUGGGAAUUCUUUCAUUGUGCUUUAAAUCUCUUCCAAAAAGAAAUAAAAGCCAAUCAAUGAUAAAA
Lacerta agilis (Sand lizard) is the source of this 354-nucleotide long non-coding RNA. RefSeq lists it as uncharacterized. The transcript has 3 exons. Lineage: Eukaryota; Metazoa; Chordata; Lepidosauria; Squamata; Lacertidae. The record is from RefSeq and is a predicted model, not a curated record.